GACAGAGGAGGCGAGCGUUAUCCGGAGUUAUUCGGCGUAAAGGGUACGUAGGCGGCUGGUCAAGUAUGGGGUUAAAGACCACAGCUUAACUGUGGGGGGGCCGUGGAAACUGACCGGCUGGAGUGGAGCAGGGGUUGCGGGAAUUCCCGGUGUAGCGGUGAAAUGCGUAGAUAUCGGGAAGAACACCUGAGGCGGAAGCGCGCAACUGGGCCCCGACUGCCGCUGAGGUACGAAAGCUAGGGGAGCGAAUGGG
This 253-nucleotide ribosomal RNA is filed under the name uncultured bacterium. RNAcentral's name for it is "partial 16S ribosomal RNA". It matches the Rfam family "Bacterial small subunit ribosomal RNA", at positions 524 to 776 of the family's 1533-position model. The record is from RNAcentral.